This 360-nucleotide ribosomal RNA is filed under the name uncultured bacterium. RNAcentral describes it as "bacterial SSU rRNA". It matches the Rfam family "Bacterial small subunit ribosomal RNA", at positions 29 to 415 of the family's 1533-position model. The record is from RNAcentral.
AACGAACGCUGGCGGCAGGCUUAACACAUGCAAGUCGAACGGGCGUAGCAAUACGUCAGUGGCGGACGGGUGAGUAACACGUGGGAAUAUGCCUUUCGGUUCGGAACAACUCGGGGAAACCCGUGCUAAUUCCGGAUACGCCCUUACGGGGAAAGAUUUAUCGCCGAAAGAUUAGCCCGCGUUGGAUUAGCUAGUUGGUGAGGUAAAGGCUCACCAAGGCGACGAUCCAUAGCUGGUUUGAGAGGAGAUCAGCCACAUUGGGACUGAGACACGGCCCAAACUCCUACGGGAGGCAGCAGUGGGGAAUAUUGGACAAUGGGCGCAAGCCUGAUCCAGCCAUGCCGCGUGAGUGAUGAAGCC